RNAcentral lists this ribosomal RNA (426 nucleotides) under uncultured bacterium. RNAcentral describes it as "bacterial SSU rRNA". It matches the Rfam family "Bacterial small subunit ribosomal RNA", at positions 354 to 796 of the family's 1533-position model. The record is from RNAcentral.
GUGAGGAAUUUUCCGCAAUGGGCGAAAGCCUGACGGAGCAAUGCCGCGUGAAGGAUGAAGGCCUAUGGGUUGUAAACUUCUUUUCUCAGAAAAGAAUUAUGACGGUAUCUGAGGAAUAAGCAUCGGCUAACUCUGUGCCAGCAGCCGCGGUAAGACAGAGGAUGCAAGCGUUAUCCGGAAUGAUUGGGCGUAAAGCGUCUGUAGGUUGUUUAAAAAGUAUUCUGUCAAAGAUUAGGGCUUAACCCUAGAUAGGCAGAAUAAACUUUUAAACUAGAGUUUGGUAGAGGCAGAGGGAAUUCCCGGUGGAGCGGUGAAAUGCGUAGAUAUCGGGAGGAACACCAAAGGCGAAGGCACUCUGCUGGGCCAAUACUAACACUGAGAGACGAAAGCGAGGGGAGCAAAUGGGAUUAGAAACCCUGGUAGUCC